Long non-coding RNA from Mobula hypostoma (lesser devil ray), 4359 nucleotides. RefSeq lists it as uncharacterized. NCBI's taxonomy places the organism in Eukaryota, Metazoa, Chordata, Chondrichthyes, Myliobatiformes, Myliobatidae. The record is from RefSeq and is a predicted model, not a curated record. The transcript has 4 exons.
GACACAAGGCAGAGCUCUCAGGGCAGGUCUGAAAAAUGCAAGGAAGACCUGAUACUCGAGGCAGCGCUGAGACUUGGGAGCAUGGCACGAGACUUGGAAACAAAGCAUAACAAGAAAGAGCUUAUGAGCUCUUGUUGAUCUAGAGAACCUCACAAAAAAUCUUGAACGUAGACCGAAGAAGCUCAGAACCUCCACUGGGUCCAUAGUUAGUGGAGUCAUGUUGUCACGGUGUGCUCUCGGAGGACUGAACCCAAAUGGAACAGCAGGCUUCUCUGUCACAUAGGUUGGUUGCACCAACUCAAGCCAGAAGUUGUGGACAGCAGGCGUGCAACUCGACACAGGAGACAUAAACAAGAGGUUCGACACAGGAACACCAACAGAGCCUCGGAGAAGUAACUGAGCCACACCAUCAGACAAUUUAUUCUCUCCAAUACAAUGAUUCUGCUAAGGCACUUCUUCUUCUGACUUUUAAUGGCAGUCAGCAGUCCAACUUAAAGGUGCAUUACCACCACCAACUGGACUGGAGUGUGGUGUGGAGAGUUGGGAAUAAAACCCCUGCUAGUUCUUUAUCAAAUGAAAACUAAAUUACCCCCGAAAGCUCUAAUAGAUUGUAAAUAAUGAAAGACAAGAUAGUAAAUGAAAUUUAAAGCCACUUCCAUAACUUAGUUUUUAAAUGAAAACUAUAAACCCCCAAAGAUAAUAGUGCAGCCUGCAUUUGUUUUCUUUCAACCUUGUAUGCUUCUCAUUGUAAUGGAAUGUGUUCAACUGUUUCCUAAUGAUGACAGAACCUACACACCCCAGAGUGAUAUCUUCCAAAAUAAUAUAAGGAAUAAUUAAGGAUAGUAUGCCCAAUUCUAAGUCGAGUCAAUAUAAUUCCUCCCCUUCUUGUUUUACCCCCUUCUCCCAUCAAUCCAACAGUUUUGUGUAUUCUGUAAAGGUGUCCCUCCUUAUGCCCAUUAUCCCACAGGUCUUGCCACAACCCCCUAAUUCUUAGCCCCACCAACCCCUUAGCUUCUGAAUUGCUAAGUGGAAGGUCCAUAUCCACAGAUGAACUCUUAGCAGCUUUUUUUGGCCAAACAAUCAACCCGCUCAUUCCCCUCAACACCUCUAUGUGCAGGAACCCAUAAGCAGAGACAUGUAGACCAAUACCUUGAAUAUGAAUUAAAAUUUGAAGAGCUUCCAGCAGUAAAUCUGGCCUGCUGCUAGAAUGACCUGUUUUAAAACUAAUCAAAACCAAAAACAGACUCUGAACAAAUGACAACUUUGCAAGGACAAAUUUCCUCCAUCCACCGUAAGCCCACAAUGAUGGCAACCAAUUCUGCGGUAUAUACUGAUAAAUGAAGAAUAAGGUGUUUCUUUAUUGUUACCUGUAAUCCAGGCACGAAAACAGCCACACCAACAUUCCCUGUUAAAUUAUUUUUUGAUCCAUCAGUAAAAAUGGGAUGCUCAACAGUUGUGGCAAGGAUUGAAUGCCAUAACAAGGUUAAAUCUUGUGUCAUAGGGGACAGCAGAGGUUCACUCGCAGAUGAGCUCAAUGGCUUCUAUGCUCACUUUGACCACCAGAACUGGGAGGAACCAUCAUGCACCCCCCAUGUCUCCCGAUGAUCCUUCGGUCUCAGUAUCGGAAAAUGAUGUGCCUUCAAGACAGCAAAUCCAAGGAAAUCAUCCAGUCCAGGCGGAGUACUGAAGGCCUGUGCUGGUGUGUUCACGGGUAUCUUCAACCUCUCACUCCAGCAGUGUGUGGAACCCACCUGCUUCAUUUGUACUGGCGCCCAAGGAGAUUGUGGUAACCUGUUUAAAUGAUUAUCACCCAGUGGCACUGACAUCCACGGGGAUGAAGUGCUCUGAGAGGCUGGAGUUGAAACAUCUCAGCUCCUGUCUGACUGACAACUUGAAUUUGUUCCAGUUUGCCUGCCGAAGCAACAGAUCUGUGGCAGAUGCCACAUCAUUGGCUCUUCACACAACCCUGGAACAUCUGGACAGCAAAGACGCUCUUUAUCGAUUACAGCUCAGCAUUUAACACCAUCAUCCCCUCAAAACUAAUCAGUAAGCUCCAAGUUCUUGGUCUCAAUACCAGUUGUGCAAUUGGAUCGUGGAUUUCCUCACUUGUAGAUGUCAGUCAGUUCAGAUUGGCAAAAACAUCUCCUCCACAAUCUCCAUCAGCAAAGGAGCACCACGUGGAUGUGUCCUUAGCCCCCCGCUCUGCUCACUUUACACCUGUGACUGUGUGGAUAAGCACAGUUCCAACACCAUAUACAAGUUUGCUGAUGACACCACUGUUGUGGGCCACAUCAAAGGGGGUGAUGAAUCAGCACACAGGAGGGAGACUGAAAAUUUGGUUGAGUGAUGUAAAAAAACAACCUCUCACUCUAUGUCAGCAAGACCAAAGAACAGAUUGUAGACUUCAGGAGAGGAAACCAGAGGUCUAUGAGCCAGAGGAUCAGAGGUGGGGAGGGUCAGUGACUUUAAAUUCCUGUCAGAGGACCUGUCCUGGACCCAUCAUAUAAAUAUAAUUGUGAAGAAAGUGCACCAGCACCUCUACUUCCUCGGAGUGUGUGGAGAUUCUGCAUCGCACCAAAAACCUUGGCAAACUUGUAUAGAUAUGUGCUGGAAAGCGUGCUGACUGGUGGCGUUAUGCCCUGGUAUGGGAACACCAAUGCCAACAGUCGCAGAACCACAUUUGAAAGAAAAGGAAGGUGUAAAAGAAACGAAGAAGUUUUGUGAACCAUCUGUGAGACGCCACCUUUGGUUGCUUUGUUCGCUGGCGCCAUCUUCUUCCAUUCUGCGGAAAUUCGAGCAACUAAAAGAUGGAGAGAACCCCUAAUCACCUCCAUGUCUAAUGCACAGUGUCAGAGACAUGUCGACCGGAGUCCAGAGCAAUGUUUGCCUCAGCCUACCCUUGUGACCCCAUCUUCACAGAAGCUAGGCUUCAAUCCAUUCUGAGGAAAGAUCAUAGAUCUGAAACAUUAACUGUUUCACUCUCCACAGGCGCUGCCUGACCUAUUGAGUGUUUUCUGUUUUUAUUUCAGAUUUCCAGCAUCUGCAGUUUUUUUUUAGUUUGUUGACUUAGUCCAUGUUAUCACAGAGGCCCGCCACUGGUUGGGGUUGCCUAGCUGUCUAUAUGAUAUGCAAGCCAGGGCAGUACGAUACGGAGAGCAAAGCUGUUGCCCACUAACAGGCUCCCCUCUCCACGGAGCUGAUGAAUCCAGACAAACGGGCAGAGAACCAUACAGUUUGGCACCAGCGGGUUGCAGGAGUUGCCAGUCAGUGUUGAACUUAUUUUAGGACUGCCUUGGUGACUCCAGCUCUGGAUUUUUCCUAAGGGUUUACUCCCGAAUCCUUCCCCAUGAGUUGGCAGUGGAGAAUUGAGAUCAGAGUCUUCCUUCUCCUAGGUGAGCUGCCAACCACAGCUGGUGGGCCCCAUCUGCCUGAAGCGACUGGUUUUAAGGCAUCAGUAACAUGCCUUUGCCCCUUCUCGUCUCGGCAGAAACUGUUCCACCAGGCUUAGUACUGGGCCGAGUCCACUACCUUUUGUAGGUGUGGAAGUUUGUAGCAUAAUUGACCAACGUUGCUAUUGCAAUUGGAAUCCAGUAACUAAUGAUGUGCACAGGGAUCUUCACUGUGUCUUUUACUAAUUGUUAUAUUUAUUAAUGAUCUGAAUAUGAAUGUAGGAGGUUUUGUUUUGAAGUUUGCAGAUGAUAUGAAAGUUGGUGGUGUUGACAUUGAGGAGGGUUACAGAGCAGUUGGCAGAGGGGGCACAAGCCACCAAAAGCAUCUCGCCAGAGUCCUCUGUCCUGGGUCAGACUUUCAAGUUGCCCUCUGCUGUAGCCCAUCUUCCUGGUGCCAGCUGGGCAAAUUAUCUUCCUCUCCCAGGGAUAAGGUCUUUUGGAGCUUUUGUUUACGUUUCUACAGCUCUGGGUUUUACAGGUUGGGGUUGGGAGCCCCGUGCCCAACCCUCCUCCCGACAAAACAGACUUCCAAUUACUGAAUGUGGGAUCUGAGACUUCUGAGUGACAUUCAGCCUGACAUCACCUUGCCAAGCCCAUCCAUCUCACUGAAAGGCAUUAUCUCACCUGCUGAGUGUUUAAAAGAUGCCAUUGUAGGUGUUGCAUUGAGUAUUGUGGAGCGUAUCAGGGUUGCAGUGAAGAUCCUUGGCAAGCGUUGCCCCACUACAUGAGCUGCAGUGCCCCGCAAUGCCUGCCGAUCGACUGGAUCAGCGUUGUACAGGAGAGGAAGGCGAGGAAGAUUCUGCAACUCACUUUCACACCAGGUUCAAUUUGCCUAUUAACCUGCCAGUGCACGCAGCUUUGGAAAAUGGGAGGAAUCCGUAGCACACGAGGAAACCUACCUACACGGUCA